Molecule: ribosomal RNA, 378 nt
Filed under: uncultured eukaryote
Lineage: Eukaryota
Description: partial 18S ribosomal RNA
Rfam family: Eukaryotic small subunit ribosomal RNA
Source: RNAcentral
CAAUAGCGUAUAUUUAAGUUGUUGCGGUUAAAAAGCUCGUAGUUGGAUUUCGGGUGGGACGCAGCGGUCUCGCAUUGCGUUUGUACUGCUGCAGCCCUCCUUCUUGCCGGGGGCGGCCUCUCGGACUUCACUGUCUGGGGGUCAGAAUCGGCGAUGUUACUUUGAGUAAAUUAGAGUGUUCAAAGCAAGCUUACGCUCUGAAUAUAAUAGCAUGGGAUAACACGACAGGACUCUGGCCUAUCGUGUUGGUCUAUAGGACCAGAGUAAUGAUUAAGAGGGACAGUCGGGGGCAUUCGUAUUCCGUUGUCAGAGGUGAAAUUCUUGGAUUUACGGAAGACGAACAUCUGCGAAAGCAUUUGCCAAGGAUGUUUNCAUUGA